UUGAGAUGCCGCACGGCCUGAAGCUGAAUGUCAGUGUAUAUCCUUCCAGCAAUUCUUCUGGCUGCAAUCAUCCCCACACCUUCGCUUUAGCUCAGCACGUAGGAACCAGUGGUUAUCCUGAUGUCACGAACAUGUGCUGGGCAGGAACUAUUUUUGAAGAGUUCUGCUACCAUACAGAUUUUGCUUGAUACCCAGUGCAGAGCCCAAUGUGGGGCUUGGACUCACGACCCUGAGAUCAGGACCUAAGCCUGAUGUAGGGCUUGAACUCAUGAGCCUUGACAUCAUGACCUGAGUUAAAGCCGGACGCUCAACUGACUGAGCCACCCAGGUAGGCCUAGAUGUAUUUUUUAAAAAGAAAAAGUACUUCCAAUUUUAACUGGAAGAUGAUAUCAAUUGUAAGAUAUAUUUUGAUUUCUGAGAUAUUCAAAUGUGAAAAAUAUGCAUUUUAGAUGACAUAAAUAUAAUUUUAUGGCCGACAACAGUGCUUAUCAACCACUUACCACUGGUAGGGGAGAGUCUAGACAAUGACACUAUGUCUCAUCUUUGUGUUUUAAAAUGCUAAAUAUUAUGAUAGAAAGUAAUAUUGAAAUUUUAAACUACUAAUGUAAUUAUUGUAUUUGUACUUAAAAUCACAGCAAUAAAAGUGAUUCAUAACA
This is a long non-coding RNA of Neofelis nebulosa (Clouded leopard), 656 nucleotides long. RefSeq lists it as uncharacterized. The transcript is spliced from 2 exons. Lineage: Eukaryota; Metazoa; Chordata; Mammalia; Carnivora; Felidae. The record is from RefSeq and is a predicted model, not a curated record.